This 301-nucleotide ribosomal RNA is filed under the name uncultured bacterium. RNAcentral's name for it is "partial 16S ribosomal RNA". It matches the Rfam family "Bacterial small subunit ribosomal RNA", at positions 509 to 807 of the family's 1533-position model. The record is from RNAcentral.
CAGUCGCCACGGUAAUACGUAGGUGGCAAGCGUUGUCCGGAAUUAUUGGGCGUAAAGGGCUCGCAGGCGGUUUCUUAAGUCUGAUGUGAAAGCCCCCGGCUCAACCGGGGAGGGUCAUUGGAAACUGGGAAACUUGAGUGCAGAAGAGGAGAGUGGAAUUCCACGUGUAGCGGUGAAAUGCGUAGAGAUGUGGAGGAACACCAGUGGCGAAGGCGACUCUCUGGUCUGUAACUGACGCUGAGGAGCGAAAGCGUAGGGAGCGAACAGGAUUAGAUACCCCCGUAGUCCCUGUCUCUUAUAC